Molecule: ribosomal RNA, 914 nt
Filed under: uncultured Nitrososphaerota archaeon
Lineage: Archaea; Thermoproteati; Nitrososphaerota
Description: bacterial SSU rRNA
Rfam family: Archaeal small subunit ribosomal RNA
Source: RNAcentral
UUCCGGUUGAUCCUGCCGGACCUGACUGCUAUCGGAUUGAUACUAAGCCAUGCGAGUCAUUGUAGCAAUACAAGGCAGACGGCUCAGUAACGCGUAGUCAACCUAACCUAUGGACGGGAAUAACCUCGGGAAACUGAGAAUAAUGCCCGAUAGAACACUAUAUCUGGAAUGGUUUGUGUUCCAAAUGAUUUAUCGCCGUAGGAUGGGACUGCGGCCUAUCAGUUUGUUGGUGAGGUAAUGGCCCACCAAGACUAUUACAGGUACGGGCUCUGAGAGGAGUAGCCCGGAGAUGGGUACUGAGACACGGACCCAGGCCCUAUGGGGCGCAGCAGGCGAGAAAACUUUGCAAUGUGCGAAAGCACGACAAGGUUAAUCCGAGUGGUUUGUGCUAAACGAACCUUUUGUCGGUCCUAGAAACACCGAUAAAUAAGGGGUGGGCAAGUUCUGGUGUCAGCCGCCGCGGUAAAACCAGCACCUCAAGUGGUCAGGAUGAUUAUUGGGCCUAAAGCAUCCGUAGCCGGCGCUAUAAGUUUUCGGUUAAAUCUGUACGCUCAACGUACAGGCUGCCGGGAAUACUGUAGCGCUAGGGAGUGGGAGAGGUAGACGGUACUCGGUAGGAAGGGGUAAAAUCCUUUGAUCUAUUGAUGACCACCUGUGGCGAAGGCGGUCUACCAGAACACGUCCGACGGUGAGGGAUGAAAGCUGGGGGAGCAAACCGGAUUAGAUACCCGGGUAGUCCCAGCUGUAAACUAUGCAAACUCAGUGAUGCAUUGGCUUGUGGCCAAUGCAGUGCUGCAGGGAAGCCGUUAAGUUUGCCGCCUGGGAAGUACGUACGCAAGUAUGAAACUUAAAGGAAUUGGCGGGGGAGCACCACAAGGGGUGAAGCCUGCGGUUCAAUUGGAUUCAACGCCGGA